This 158-nucleotide ribosomal RNA is filed under the name Taiwanofungus camphoratus. RNAcentral's name for it is "5.8S ribosomal RNA". It matches the Rfam family "5.8S ribosomal RNA". From Rfam's summary of the family: 5.8S ribosomal RNA (5.8S rRNA) is a component of the large subunit of the eukaryotic ribosome. It is transcribed by RNA polymerase I as part of the 45S precursor that also contains 18S and 28S rRNA. Lineage: Eukaryota; Fungi; Basidiomycota; Agaricomycetes; Polyporales; Taiwanofungaceae. The record is from RNAcentral.
UAACUUUCAGCAACGGAUCUCUUGGCUCUCGCAUCGAUGAAGAACACGGCGAAAUGUGAUAAGUAAUGUGAAUUGCAGAAUUCAGUGAAUCAUCGAAUCUUUGAACGCACCUUGCGCUCCUUGGUAUUCUGAGGAGCAUGCCUGUUUGAGUGUCAUGG